Molecule: long non-coding RNA, 1298 nt
Filed under: Pan troglodytes (chimpanzee)
Lineage: Eukaryota; Metazoa; Chordata; Mammalia; Primates; Hominidae
Description: long non-coding RNA NONPTRT016202
Source: RNAcentral
UCUUGAAUGCAGUGUGAUAUUAAAGGAUCCCAUUUAAGAUUUUUGUAAUAUGCUUCAAAGACCUGUGGGUUGCAAAGUUACCACUUUUGAGGACACAUGCUCCAUGAAGCACCUUAUGUGACAAUUUACAAUUAUUGUGCACCUGCCACCACACAUGGCUAAUUUUUGUAUUUUUAGUAGAGAGAGUGUUUCAUCAUGUCGGCUAGGCUGGUCUAGAACUCCUGAUUUUGUGAUCUGCCAGUCUCGGCCUCCCAAAGUGCUGGGAUUACAGGUGUGAGCGAUCGUGCCCAGCCUGUCUUGUCUUUUCAAAACCAUCCUUGGUGAUUCAGUGUUAAAUAUGUACUAGUGGAUGUUACUUUGCUGAAUAUUGCCUAGUGAAUAUUAAGUAUUCUCGCCUUUCAGACAUGAAGUUAUGAAUUUAAGAUGUGAAGAUUUACAGCUUGAUAAACCAGCUUCAGGAGGCAGGUCUUCAGUCUUAAGUCAGAUUGGAAGAUUAUAUGCAGGCCGGCCAUGGUGACUCACGUCUGUAAUCCCAGCACUCUGGGAGGCCGAGGCGGGUGGAUCACGAAGUCAGGAGAUGGAGACCAUCCUGACUGACAGGAUGAAACCCCAUCUCUACUAAAAAUACAAAAAAUUAGACGGGUGUGGUGGCAGGCACCUGUAGUCCCAUCUACUCGGGAGGCUGAGGCAGGAGAAUGGCAUGAACCCAGGAGGCGGAGCUUGCAGUGAGCCGAGAUCCCGCCACUGCACUCCAGCCUGGGCGACAGAGCAAGACUCUGUCUCAAGAAAAAAAAAAAAAAAGAUUAUGUGCAAUAAGUAUUUAAUGCUUAACAUUGUUUUUUUUAAAAUGGUACCUUCCACAUGAAAUAAUAUGCCUGUAACUAUUAAUUAUGUUCCAGGAUAGGAGAAUUCAUGUUGUCAAAAUUCUUUUUUUUUUUUGAGAUGGAGUUUUGCUCUUGUUGCCCAGGCUAGAGUGCAAUGGCACAAUCUUGGCUCACUGCAACCUCUGCCUCCUGGGUUCAAGCAAUUCUCCUGCCUCAGCUUCCCGAGUGGCUGAGAUUACAGGCAUGCACUACCACACCCGGAUAAUUUUGUAUUUUUAAUAGAGACGGGGUUUCUCCGUGUUUAUCAGUCUAGUCUCGAACUCCCAACCUCAGAUGAUCCAUCUUGGCCUUCCAAAGUGCUGGGAUUACAGGCGAGAGCUACUCCGCCUGGCCUCACGUUGUCAAAAUUCGAAUACUCUCUAAAACAGUGAACUCAUUUUCUUUUUUUCAUCUCUUAAUUGUUAGAUGUGUUUU